GGUCGGAGUUCAGUCUUCCCGGGCCCACCAUUUGCAUUUGUAAAUGUCGGUUUACGGGUUUGCCUGAUCCUGGCGGCUUUGUCUGUCGGGUGUUGCGAUGGUUGGGGCUGUAGCUCAGCUGGGAGAGCACCUGCUUUGCAAGCAGGGGGUCAGCGGUUCGAUCCCGCUCAGCUCCACCAAAUCGCAUUUGGUGUCGAGCGAGCCGAGAUAUCCUUCUGAAGAAGUAAAAGUUUGCACGACGCGAAACGCGUUUGUGCCUGUUCUGCAAAAAUCGUGAAGAGAAGAUUGAUCUGGAGGCUUCCAGGUGUCGGGGUUUUGGCCCUGAUGUCCGAGCCCUUUCCCGGUGAACCUUUCGAGGGUCUAGCCGACCCGAGACUGGUGAGGGAUUGGAGGUAGGAAGGAAGCUUGUCGCUCUGGGUCGUUUGUUGUUGGCAUCUUCGGAUGCUUCCGGCGGAUGACCUGAUGGCCGUUGCCUGACCGCGCGGUCCCGGAUUUGAUCUCGAGAAGCUGGUCUUAAGAUAGACUGCAAGCGAGCUGCUCGGCGUAGCUCCAAUAAAGCAGGUCUAUCGAACACGUCGAUGGCAUCAUUGAGUGGAUCGGGUUGUAAAAGGUAGCCCGGUCGCUUCCGUCUUUGGACGGCGGCUAGAUGAUGAGCAUUGGCAAUGAGAACGAUCAAGUGUCGUAAGGGCAUUUGGUGGAUGCCUUGGCAUGCACAGGCGAAGAAGGACGUGAUACGCUGCGAUAAGCCGUGGGGAGCUGCGAAUGAGCUUUGAUCCAUGGAUCUCC
This 786-nucleotide unclassified non-coding RNA is filed under the name Rhizobium pisi. RNAcentral's name for it is "partial 16S-23S ribosomal RNA intergenic spacer". The stretch from base 671 to 786 matches the Rfam family "Bacterial large subunit ribosomal RNA", at positions 1 to 115 of the family's 2925-position model. Lineage: Bacteria; Pseudomonadati; Pseudomonadota; Alphaproteobacteria; Hyphomicrobiales; Rhizobiaceae. The record is from RNAcentral.